ACCUCUUUAUAAUGAAUAAACUCGUGUGUAAAUGCAGGUAAACUAUAUUCCAGGAGUCUUGCAUAUCCUACUCUAGAUUCGUAAAAAAAUUAAAAAAUGAAUAACGGUGAAAAUUCGUUUGUUAUUGAGCCAGGAAUCCGGUCGCUUCAGAGUGGCUGAGACUUUGAUUGCCAACAGAAGAUACAAUCUGGGCAUUUCGCUGAUCAGGACAAGCAUUUGACGGCAUAUGGUUUAUGUUCUUUUACAGGUUUACAGUUGUGCGGGUCGAUAACGCUGGUCUUCUUGAAAUCGAAGAGAGACGAAUUUUCUAAACUCUGUCCUUGCUAAGGUGUUCAUCCGCCUUUUCCUUAAGUUUUAUCGAAAAAAAAAAUGUCUGUUUGUAUGUCUAGCCCAGCGACGCAGGCAAAUACAUUAUAACCUGGCUUAUAGAAAUCGUCGACAGGUUAACGAUAUACAGUGUGUUUGUGCGCGGCAAGAAUAGUUUGCUAAAUUUAGGUCAUUGUAACAAGUGGUCAGCCAUAAAGGUUUUCAAAGAAGAACAGCGAUCACGCUUUUUACUUUUUCUGCACGGCUAAUUUGCUUUUAGCCUCAGCUUCAUCUAAAAAUCACUUACGCACUCUUGCAAUUUUAUGAAAUAUUUCUAGCCCCAACAAAAACAAUCUAGAGAAAACUGCAGAAACUCAAAUUAAAUGAAUAAGGACCUGAACUUCCGUAACGAUUUCGCGUCCAAACUAACACAGCAAAUAGAGUAUAUAAAGAGGGCGGAGCAGUUGAAUACUAAGGUCUUUCUGUGACUCGCUAGAUUGACGGACGUACAGAGACAAUUUGAUUACCGUAUCUUCUGCUACUUUAGGACCUCAGCAGUAUUUGUCUGAAGUUCUCUUCUGAUAGCAAUACUUUGGUUUCCAGAUGGAGCUAGGUCAUUUCGUGACGACGUAAAUAAACUUAGAAUAUCCAUAAGUUAAACUCGGCUAGCCUAUACUAGUGAUAGCGAUUUGUCAACUCAACGAAACCUUUCAUUUCAACGUGAACGGCAUCUAUGCUGAAAACGAGAACUGAGCCGACGAAACCCGGCAAAGGCCACAUUCUCGAAGGCCUCUAAAAGAAGGUAGCCUAUAAUACCUGCCUUGGAAACAAAUAAUGCAGAUGACCUAUCUUUGACAUCCUUGUGGAAAUUUUUUAAAUUGAAUUUACUGAGGAUUUUUGAGGCACGUCUCCAUAAAAUCAAUAUCGGCUUUUUUUUUGCUGCCAUGUCUAAGUCCUACUAAGUUUCGAUAUAUACACUAUAAUAUUGAAGUUCAAAAUUUCUCAGCAAAUACGAAAUCGUGAUAGCCAGCCACCUAUUCCAUAGUACCUUCAUCAAUAUUUAAGGCUUCCUCUAGCACACGGUACAGCUCCAUAUUUUAUUAGCUACCCAAAAAGUAUUCCGAAAACACUUUUUUGUACUUAUAAUUAUAUCUAAUCCGUGUACAUACGUGUUACAAUACGGCCCCUCUCUUAACUAUAUAGCAAAAAAGCUCUGCGGCGGUUACUGCAUACGUUAUCCUAUGCAGAGUUCCUUGACAGAUGGGGAGAGCCUUUCAAUCGUCCGCAUUGUCCGUUGCACCUGCCAGUCUUGUGGGCUUUCUGUAGACCGCAGUUACUUUUUCGCUGGUUGUUGUUACAACGGCUUCCUACAUCCGACCGACAAGCAGCUUUCGUGGGUGCAAGUAGAGCUGAGAAGCUGGACACAGCAUUACAAGAAGCCUGCGAAUUAGCCCGCUACAACGGUGUUCAGACGAGGAGUGUUCGUAAUGAACUGCCAGGUUGCGCACACAUUCUACAUACGUAGCCUCGGUUUCGAUCUGGGCAGCUUAUACCUCACCGUCGACGGCUUCUACCUCCUGACGGUAUUCUACGUGCCCCAGAACCUUGCGGGGUGUUAAUAGGUUUGUCUAUCAACAGUUGAGUUAGUGCCGCUUCCGCCGUGUAUCCUCCUCCUCUUUAUGUCUAUCGUUCCAUUCUACAUUAAGGACAGUGACGAGAACAGCCUGCAUCGUAGCGAUCUAACCACCCAAACAGGCAGUAGGCUGUGCCUCUUGUUAUGGACACUGUCUGAAACGUUCACGACGGUUUCGAUAGAGGAAGAUACCAUUGUAACUAGACAUGUUAUAAGUGGAUCAAAUGAUUAGCAGAUUGCAGCCACAGACCUGUUGCGGCUAUGGCCUACUACUGGCUAUAUUGGCACUAGUUAUACUGGUGAAUCGCUGAAGCAUUACUCGUCGCGAGGACAGAUACGGCGCACAGACGAAUAAUUAUCGCCUACGCGUAGUCUGUAUAGCAGUUAGUUUCUCGAUCUGUCAAGAUCGGAAAUGAGAUUCGCGUACUGUCAGUGCACAGAAAGAACAACAGAGACGGAGUUGACAGGAGGUGUAUCAGAAAAUAUCACGAUAGUUAAGCAGAAGACGAGAGAGAACCAAAACGUAAAAAAUUCUAGGCCACUAUUUCGUUGUUUCUUACGCAAUGAACAGACAUCUGGGUCGUGCACGCAUCGACAAGGCUUGCAGCUUACCUGCAUCUAGAAUAGAAAUAUGGCCGUGUGACUAUGACGCGGUUGUCAUUUAUGUGGUGCCUGAAAACGGAGAAGACCAUAAGAGAACUCGUCUACGAGACUAGAAAGACAAUGUGUGCCUAGUGUCAAACCUCAGUUUAUUGCUCUCCCAGGAAAAUCCGAAAAUUGCGCGCAUAUUGCCUGAGCCAUCCAGUUACUAGGCGCCGAAUGCUUUUACCCUAUUAUUUCGAGGCAGAAUCGAGGAUAUCCGUUAGUCAAAGUGGUACCUGCGUGUACCCUAGUAAGUAGUAGCCGUCGUCGCUGGAAUUAGCUCAAAUACAGUUACCGGUGUCGUGUGUCGUCGAUAACCAAACAUGGAUAACUCGGCCAUCGAUUGUUGCCUAUAAUUUCCAGGGAUACAGGUCCUGAUCACCGGAUAUGGCGCUGAUUUCUGAACGGCCAAUCGGUCUUCAAACCCCGGGAGUCUAGACCUCUGUCUUCAUUUACCCAGUUCCUAUGUUUGCCAUCCUGUAGUGAGACGAUCGACUUAUGUUUGAAGAAGAUGUAGGCAUCGUUCA
This is a long non-coding RNA of Varroa destructor (honeybee mite), 3108 nucleotides long. RefSeq lists it as uncharacterized. The record is from RefSeq and is a predicted model, not a curated record. Lineage: Eukaryota; Metazoa; Arthropoda; Arachnida; Mesostigmata; Varroidae.